ACUUGAGGAGGUGUUGAGUAUUGGACCCUGCCUCCAUGUGUCCUUCUCUUGUCUUGCCCUUUGUCCUGGUCUCCAUUCAGACAAUGAAGUUAGUUGUUGGUGUGUUUGCGCUCAGAACUGGAAGAGUCCUAUAGAUUAGAAGGUUUUUCUGCUGAAGAGGGCCGAACAUUGUGCAUAACAGGGCAAAAGGCUUUAAUUGUGAAACAACACAAAUCCUAGGAAUGAGACACCUUCCGCAAGAGUACAUCAUUAUAACAGAGGAUCCUGUUGGGGAAGCCCUUUCUGCAGAUCCUGAUGCCUUCCAGCACACCAUUACAGCGCAGCUGGUGCAUCACCAGAGGAUUCUCCAUGGCCCCAGGAGUCUUGGUCUCAUUGGGGAUGAUGCAGCGUACAAAGUGAGGACUGUGGACCUCUGUGUGGACUCAAAUCCUUUGCACUGUUUGCUUCCUGAUGAGGCAAUGACCAGGACAUGGAGAAAUAAUGGAAAGGUCUCUCUUGGAGGACUUUACCCCUGAAUACAUCAAGUCUAGAUUAUCUGCUGUCAGUCAGAAAUCUUUGUCAAGUCUGUCUCUUUUCUGUGUUCCAAAUGGCCCUCCCUUGUCUGGCUUUGAAAAGAAGAUGCUUGUUACUAGAGAAAGACUGACCUCCACUACUGAUAUGAAGGGAACAUCCCAACAACCCACCAGGAGGAGCAUGUUUUGAAAAUAUAAGUGAAAAUACAACUGAGCCUGUUCAGUUGCUUCAUGAACCAACUCGGUUUUAUGUGUACUUUGUUUUGGUAUUACAGUAAAAUCUAUAUUUUAUUGAA
Long non-coding RNA from Siniperca chuatsi (mandarin fish), 808 nucleotides. RefSeq lists it as uncharacterized. The transcript has 6 exons. The record is from RefSeq and is a predicted model, not a curated record. Lineage: Eukaryota; Metazoa; Chordata; Actinopteri; Centrarchiformes; Sinipercidae.